RNAcentral lists this ribosomal RNA (328 nucleotides) under uncultured bacterium. Its description in RNAcentral is "bacterial SSU rRNA". It matches the Rfam family "Bacterial small subunit ribosomal RNA", at positions 568 to 898 of the family's 1533-position model. The record is from RNAcentral.
AGCGCAGGCGGGUUAGUAAGUCGGUGGUGAAAUUCUUAGGCUUAACCUAAGGACUGCCAUCGAUACUGCUAAUCUUGAGUGCAGAAGAGGUUGAUGGAAUUCUAGGUGUAGCGGUGAAAUGCGUAGAUAUCUAGAAGAACACCGAUGGCGAAGGCAGUCAACUGGUCUGCUACUGACGCUCAUGCUCGAAAGCGUGGGGAUCAAACAGGAUUAGAUACCCUGGUAGUCCACGCCCUAAACGAUGGAUACUCGAUGUCGGGCCGCAAGGCUCGGUGUCUAAGCUAACGCAUUAAGUAUCCCACCUGGGGAGUACGAUCGCAAGGUUGAA